Non-coding RNA from Paramuricea clavata, 321 nucleotides. The record is from the annotation of a GenBank genome assembly. NCBI's taxonomy places the organism in Eukaryota, Metazoa, Cnidaria, Anthozoa, Malacalcyonacea, Plexauridae.
ACCAAUAAUUCAAAAGGGUCAAAGUUGGUCAAAAUGGAACUAAUACUUUCUUAAAAUUAAAAUGGAAGGUCGUUGGUAAAACUUGGAAGUUGGUAAAACUUGGUCAAAGUAGUUCUAGAGAUAAAAGAUGGUCAAAGUUAUGAAAUCGUUCGCAAUUUUAACAAUUUCUAAGCUUUGGUCAUGUUUGCGCGGAAACAAUUGCAAGCCUUGCUUGUUUUGAUCGAAAAAUAUUUGAAGCUUUAAUUUGCUUAUGUUAGUCCGGAAAAUUUUUUGACAACCCACCUGUCGACAAUAUUUUCGGGAAACAUUUCUAUCACUUGG